This is a long non-coding RNA of Gekko japonicus, 172 nucleotides long. RefSeq lists it as uncharacterized. The transcript is spliced from 3 exons. Lineage: Eukaryota; Metazoa; Chordata; Lepidosauria; Squamata; Gekkonidae. The record is from RefSeq and is a predicted model, not a curated record.
GCAGCAGCAGCAGCAGCUAAAGCAGCAAAAUACGGUGCUGGAGGCGUUCCCGGCGUGGGAGGCGUUCCCGGCGUGGGAGGCGUACCUGGCGUGGGAGGCGUACCUGGUGUAGGGGGCAUACCUGGUGCAGGGAUCCCCCAGAUUGGAGCACAGCCCGGAGCCAAGCCCCCGA